Molecule: long non-coding RNA, 627 nt
Organism: Capsicum annuum
Lineage: Eukaryota; Viridiplantae; Streptophyta; Magnoliopsida; Solanales; Solanaceae
Exons: 2
Source: RefSeq, a predicted model, not a curated record
UCGGCAAAGAAAAGUAAAAGAUAAGGUACGAAGGAAAUAAUGGAGGACAGCUGUAUGGCCAACAGUGACGGACUCCAAAAUUUUAUAUUUUCUAGUUUAUAGUUUUAUCUAUAAAUAGAGUAGUUUGUUUUUGUAAGAGGCAUCACUUGGAAAUCGAGAAACCUACUCUCAUAUCCAAAAUCCUCUCUAGUAUAGUUUGAAGUUUUCAAGUUUCAGCAAAUAUUGUCAUGUUUGGCGGCUUUCAUAUAACUGAUGAGAGUUCCACAGCAUAGAGUCUAUGUGGAGAACACAAACCUGACGUGUAGGAAGCGUGAGUGUUUUAUAAUUCUCAAUGGCCGCCGCCUUGAUAUCCUGUCUAUAGGUGAGAGCUCGACAAUCAUUGACCCGUCCAAGCAAUUGAACAGAUAUCUUACCAACUCUAUGAGGAUCAUGCACUUGAAAGUCCUUAAUAUAACCUGAUAAUGCAGUUACAACGUAAGGAGACCAAUAUACUCUUAUGAUUUUAAUAGGCUUAUUUGAUUAUACACUCUUUUUGCCUUUUUUGAUUGUUGUUACAUAUUGUUUCAUAUUGUAUCAUAUUUUAUUGUAUCGUACUGUACUGUUUCAACGAAUACAAAGUUUUGCAUA